ACCUUCCAACAAUUUCAUUGCGGUGAGUCAUUAUCUAUUACUUCUUUUUACUUUGUUUAUGUGCUGAAUUUUUACAUGUAAAAAAUGUUUAGGGCUAUUUUGGAAUGUUUUUGAAUUCUUUUAGUUCACACUGAUGUCUCAGGUAAUAAAUUUGAUCAUGGUUAUAUGCCGGAAAAACUUGGAAAUAAUUCAAUUGAACUGUGUAUGAUCCCUGAAGUUCUUCUCUUCCAGAAUGGGUGGUGCACUGAAGGGAGCACAGGUAAUUGACAAUCUGCCAACUAUUGGGAUUGAUGAGACUGUGCAUGAUCUGCCUGCCCCUGAAGUCCCUCUCGAUGAGCCCUUGAGUCUUGAGCUGCCGAUUUUGCCAGGCCCUCAGAAGGUCCUCAAUGCACUGGUGUCUUGAGGACUGGUUUAGUGUGUGACAGUGUUGCCCCAUUUUCAACAAACAUCGGCAUCAGGGGCACUGCAAUGAGUGUUGAAUGGAUCUGCCCCAAUGGACAUUGCCUAUGGCGGUGGAAUUCACAGCCUGUGUUGAAGUUUGGCAUGCAGGCUGGGGACUUUCUUCUUUCCACUAACAUUUUACUUUCUGGAAACAACUACACUGAAGUUGCUCUCCUAUUUAAAUUCAUGAACAUACAAAUGGUAAACACCAACACACACUACACCAUCCAGGACACCUACUGUGUUGACACUAUUAAAGAUUUUU
Pimephales promelas (fathead minnow) is the source of this 706-nucleotide non-coding RNA. The record is from RefSeq and is a predicted model, not a curated record. NCBI's taxonomy places the organism in Eukaryota, Metazoa, Chordata, Actinopteri, Cypriniformes, Leuciscidae.